CCCUUAGAUGUCCUGGGCCGCACGCGCGCUACACUGAUGCAUUCAACGAGUUCUACCUUGGCCGAGAGGCCUGGGCAAUCUUUUGAACCUGCAUCGUGAUAGGGAUAGAUUAUUGCAAUUAUUAAUCUUGAACGAGGAAUUCCUAGUAAACGCAGAUCAUCAAUCUGCAUUGAUUACGUCCCUGCCCUUUGUACACACCGCCCGUCGCACCUACCGAUUGAAUGGUCCGGUGAAGCCUCGGGAUUGUGGCGAGUUCCCUUUAUUGGGAGUUUGUCGCGAGAACUUGUCUAAACCUUAUCAUUUAGAGGAAGGUGAGGUCGUAACA
This 325-nucleotide ribosomal RNA is filed under the name uncultured eukaryote. RNAcentral's name for it is "partial 18S ribosomal RNA". It matches the Rfam family "Eukaryotic small subunit ribosomal RNA", at positions 1470 to 1796 of the family's 1831-position model. The record is from RNAcentral.